RNAcentral lists this ribosomal RNA (1271 nucleotides) under metagenome. RNAcentral describes it as "bacterial LSU rRNA". It matches the Rfam family "Bacterial large subunit ribosomal RNA", at positions 1662 to 2925 of the family's 2925-position model. The record is from RNAcentral.
GGUGCGCGAGAUGAGUAUUCUAAGGCGCUUGAGAGAACUCAGGAGAAGGAACUCGGCAAAUUGACACCGUAACUUCGGAAGAAGGUGUGCCCUAGUAGUGUGAAGUGAACAACGGAGCAUGAAUGGGUUGCAAAAAAUCGGUGGCUGCGACUGUUUAUUAAAAACACAGCACUCUGCAAACACGAAAGUGGACGUAUAGGGUGUGACGCCUGCCCGGUGCUGGAAGAUUAAAUGAUGGGGUGCAAGCUCUUGAUUGAAGUCCCAGUAAACGGCGGCCGUAACUAUAACGGUCCUAAGGUAGCGAAAUUCCUUGUCGGGUAAGUUCCGACCUGCACGAAUGGCGUAACGAUGGCCACACUGUCUCCUCCUGAGACUCAGCGAAGUUGAAAUGUUUGUGAUGAUGCAAUCUCCCCGCGGAAAGACGGAAAGACCCCAUGAACCUUUACUGUAGCUUUGUAUAGGACUCUGAACAGAUCUGUGUAGGAUAGGUGGGAGGCUUUGAAGCAGGGUCGCUAGAUCUUGUGGAGCCAACGUUGAAAUACCACCCUGGUGUGUUUGAGGUUCUAACCUAGGUCCAUUAUCUGGAUCGGGGACAGUGCAUGGUAGGCAGUUUGACUGGGGCGGUCUCCUCCCAAAGCGUAACGGAGGAGUUCGAAGGUACGCUAGUUACGGUCGGACAUCGUGACGAUAGUGCAAUGGCAUAAGCGUGCUUAACUGCGAGACUGACAAGUCGAGCAGAUGCGAAAGCAGGACAUAGUGAUCCGGUGGUUCUGUAUGGAAGGGCCAUCGCUCAACGGAUAAAAGGUACUCUGGGGAUAACAGGCUGAUACCGCCCAAGAGUUCAUAUCGACGGCGGUGUUUGGCACCUCGAUGUCGGCUCAUCUCAUCCUGGGGCUGUAGCCGGUCCCAAGGGUAUGGCUGUUCGCCAUUUAAAGAGGUACGUGAGCUGGGUUUAAAACGUCGUGAGACAGUUUGGUCCCUAUCUUCCGUGGGCGCUGCAGAUUUGAGGAAGCCUGCUCCUAGUACGAGAGGACCGGAGUGGACACACCUCUGGUGUAUCGGUUGUCACGCCAGUGGCAUUGCCGAGUAGCUAAGUGUGGAAGAGAUAACCGCUGAAAGCAUCUAAGCGGGAAACUCGUUUCAAGAUGAGAUCUGCCGGGGCCUUGAGCCCCCUGAAGAGUCGUUCAAGACCAGGACGUUGAUAGGUCAGGUGUGGAAGCGCAGUAAUGCGUUAAGCUAACUGAUACUAAUUGCUCGUGCGGCUUGACCCC